Molecule: ribosomal RNA, 427 nt
Filed under: uncultured bacterium
Lineage: Bacteria
Description: bacterial SSU rRNA
Rfam family: Bacterial small subunit ribosomal RNA
Source: RNAcentral
UGGGGAAUUUUGGACAAUGGGCGCAAGCCUGAUCCAGCAAUGCCGCGUGCAGGAUGAAGGCCUUCGGGUUGUAAACUGCUUUUGUACGGAACGAAACGGCUCUGUCUAAUACAUGGGGCUAAUGACGGUACCGUAAGAAUAAGCACCGGCUAACUACGUGCCAGCAGCCGCGGUAAUACGUAGGGUGCAAGCGUUAAUCGGAAUUACUGGGCGUAAAGCGUGCGCAGGCGGUGAUGUAAGACAGAGGUGAAAUCCCCGGGCUCAACCUGGGAAUUGCCUUUGUGACUGCAAGGCUUGAGUGCGGCAGAGGGGGAUGGAAUUCCGCGUGUAGCAGUGGAAUGCGUAGAUAUGCGGAGGAACACCGAUGGCGAAGGCAAUCCCCUGGGCCUGCACUGACGCUCAUGCACGAAAGCGUGGGGAGCAAACA